UGGGGAAUUUUCCGCAAUGGGCGAAAACCUGACGGAGCAAUGCCGCGUGAAGGCCGAAGGCCCCCGGGUCAUGAACUUCUUUUCUCGGAGAAGGAAAAAUGACGGUAUC
This 109-nucleotide ribosomal RNA is filed under the name uncultured eukaryote. RNAcentral describes it as "partial 16S ribosomal RNA". It matches the Rfam family "Bacterial small subunit ribosomal RNA", at positions 355 to 479 of the family's 1533-position model. The record is from RNAcentral.